UACGUAGGGUCCGAGCGUUAAUCGGAAUUACUGGGCGUAAAGCGUGCGCAGGCGGUUAUAUAAGACAGUUGUGAAAUCCCCGGGCUCAACCUGGGAACUGCAUCUGUGACUGUAUAGCUAGAGUACGGUAGAGGGGGAUGGAAUUCCGCGUGUAGCAGUGAAAUGCGUAGAUAUGCGGAGGAACACCGAUGGCGAAGGCAAUCCCCUGGACCUGUACUGACGCUCAUGCACGAAAGCGUGGGGAGCAAACAGG
Molecule: ribosomal RNA, 253 nt
Filed under: uncultured bacterium
Lineage: Bacteria
Description: partial 16S ribosomal RNA
Rfam family: Bacterial small subunit ribosomal RNA
Source: RNAcentral